Molecule: ribosomal RNA, 650 nt
Filed under: uncultured bacterium
Lineage: Bacteria
Description: bacterial SSU rRNA
Rfam family: Bacterial small subunit ribosomal RNA
Source: RNAcentral
GGGGACUCGGGUAGCGGCGGACGGGUGAGUAACGCGUGGGAACAUACCUUUCACUACGGAAUAGCCCCGGGAAACUGGGAGUAAUACCGUAUACGCCCUUUUGGGGAAAGAUUUAUCGGUGAGAGAUUGGCCCGCGUUGGAUUAGGUAGUUGGUGGGGUAAUGGCCUACCAAGCCGACGAUCCAUAGCUGGUUUGAGAGGAUGAUCAGCCACACUGGGACUGAGACACGGCCCAGACUCCUACGGGAGGCAGCAGUGGGGAAUCUUAGACAAUGGGGGCAACCCUGAUCUAGCCAUGCCGCGUGUGUGAUGAAGGCCCUAGGGUCGUAAAGCACUUUCGCCAGGGAUGAUAAUGACAGUACCUGGUAAAGAAACCCCGGCUAACUCCGUGCCAGCAGCCGCGGUAAUACGGAGGGGGUUAGCGUUGUUCGGAAUUACUGGGCGUAAAGCGUACGUAGGCGGAUUAGUCAGUCAGAGGUGAAAUCCCAGGGCUCAACCCUGGAACUGCCUUUGAUACUGCUAGUCUUGAGUUCGAGAGAGGUGAGUGGAAUUCCGAGUGUAGAGGUGAAAUUCGUAGAUAUUCGGAGGAACACCAGUGGCGAAGGCGGCUCACUGGCUCGAUACUGACGCUGAGGUACGAAAGUGUGGGGA